RNAcentral lists this unclassified non-coding RNA (2023 nucleotides) under Dendronephthya gigantea. RNAcentral's name for it is "endoribonuclease Dicer-like, transcript variant X2". Lineage: Eukaryota; Metazoa; Cnidaria; Anthozoa; Malacalcyonacea; Nephtheidae. The record is from RNAcentral.
GUAACAGAGAUUAUUCUGGUUCAUGGCCGUCUUGAAGAAGCACCACAAAUGACUGACUAUUAUAACGUCUCUAUAAGAAAGAAAAAUAAACAAAAUUCAACUUCUGGUAGCGAUAUGUUGGAAGAAGCGACGGAAGAACGAACUUCAUCUGUGGAUUUGUCAACUGACUCAUCUUUAGUCAUUGAUAUAUCUGAUGCACUAAGUGAGAAAGACAAAGUUAAAUUCACAGUUCACACCAAGACAACUUUACCGGAGUUCAAAAGUAGUGACUUCUCUGUUGUACGAGGCCAUGAAGAGUUUGUCUGGCUCCAUGACAGAUACGAGGAGAAUGAUGAAUAUGCAGGGAUAAUUAUCCCUCCUGCACCACCACGACCUGAUUUUGAUGCAUCGAGAGAAAAACUUCAACGAUUAGGAGAUGGUGAAGGGACCAUGACAAAAGAAGAAUUCUCCAAAAUGAAAGCUGAACUGGAAGCGGAAUAUCUAGCAACAUUCAAAAAGACAGUUGCAAUGCAUGAGGUGUUCCUAUGCAGACUUGCUGCUCAUCCAAAACUGAGAAAAGAUGAAAACUUUAAAGUGUUUUUGGAGUACAAACAAGAGUUGAGUGUUAGGGGCAAAAACAAGAAAGAGAAACUUGGUGGAUUCAUCAAAGGUUUUGCUAAAGGGGUGGAUGAAGUUUUACUUUCAAGUCAGAAGGAUGCUGAUGAGUUCUUUGAAGGGGAGAAGAAAUUUUUGGUUGAAUACCAUAGCAAGCUUCGAGAAUCAACAAAGCAAUCAGACAGAAUGACAAGAUCUCACAAAGGGGUUGCUGAUUGCUAUAUCAAAAUAUCAACCUGUGUCACUGCCUUAGCAACAAGUGAAGCAACUGAUUUUGAGAAAUUCUUAAAUAAAGUUAGUGACACUUUUGAAAAAGUUCGGAAAUUGGAAGGUCGUGUGGCGUCAGAUGAGGAUCUUAAGUUAUCAGAUCUGCUUCGGUAUUACAUGCGAGACACAGAUGCAGCCAAGGCAUUGUUGUACAGGAGGGCAAAAUGUUUGUCAGAGUUCGAUAAUGCUAAUAAGGCUUUGGAUAAAGCUAGGGCAAAGAAUAAGGAUAUUCCCAGUGCGGAAGCAGCACAGCAAAAAGCCAGUGAAAAAUUUGAACGUAUUUCUGAAGAAGCAAAGAAAGAAAUUGAAGAUUUCAAAGUACGCCGUGUUCAGCAAUACAAAAAGAAUCUUGUUGAAUUGACUGAACUUGAAAUCAAACAUGCAAAGGCGCAAAUCCAAUUGCUAAAAAACGCGUUGACAUCACUGAAAGACUUGUGAACAGCAGCAAGAUAAGGAACUCUGAUAAGAAAUUUAAUUUUAAUUGAAGUAUAGAUAGUGUGAAAACAUUGAUCCAAUGAAUGUAUAAUAUGACUAUUGACUAACAAAAUUGAAAAGUUGAAAUGGGACCCGCAUAAUUGUGAAGUGUCAUUCAAAAGUUGAAUGAAAUCUUUGUUACUAUCCAUGCAAUUGGACAAAACUUAAUCUUCUGACUUUAGAAGCAAAUUUAUGAAUAAAUGAAAAUUGCGAAUGAAACGCUAUUUUUUGCAAGUGGAAACGUAUAGUAUAAAAUUUCCAAAUAUAAGCAAAAAUUUUUACUAUUACAAAAAGAAGCCCCCGAAGUUUUUAGAAAUUUAGGCGAUAUUUAGGAGAGCAAUAGUAUUCGUGACAUUUUAUUGUUAGCGAGAGAAAAAAAAGUCUCGUUUGCAAGAUUAUAACAAGUUUAAUCCGAUAUUGUUGUUUUGAUGUUGUCAUGUUGCCAAAAAUAGCAACAUGGAUUUCCCCUUUCUUAUGUUUUCUUGGAAGAAAUGACAAGAAUUCGUUUGAAAAACUUCGCAACAGAAGAUUUGCUGUAGAAAAAGAAAGAAAUUAUAUUCUAGUUUUCCGGAGAAUAUGUAAUCAGAAUAUAUCUGAUUUUCAACUAUCAAAUGGGAGGUUGGUAGUUCAAGAUCAUGUUAAAGAACCCAAGUCAGGAUAUAGUUGUUGGUACUUGAUAUGGCUGCGA